GCCCCGUGAUGACACCAAGGCGAAUGUGAGCUCACUGGGUAGGAGUCUGAGUUCUUCUGCAUUGCUCUUGGCUGGUAAUCUUGACAGGGCAGUGGAGGUUUGCUGCUUUGUUGUAAGGGCCUGCCUAUAGACAUACAGCCCCCCUCCUUUCAGCUCUUCUGUAAAGAAAAGCAGGAGAGAGAGUGUGUGGUGCUGACAUUAUGUGGGUGAGCGUUUAUCCGUGUAUGUGUUUGCAAGUAGAUUCUCAGUUCUCUGAUUUAUCCAGCAUGCUUUGAACUUCAUCUUUGGUAAUCUGAGGGUG
Colossoma macropomum (tambaqui) is the source of this 301-nucleotide small nucleolar RNA. NCBI's taxonomy places the organism in Eukaryota, Metazoa, Chordata, Actinopteri, Characiformes, Serrasalmidae. The record is from RefSeq and is a predicted model, not a curated record.